UCAGGAUGAACGCUAGCUACAGGCUAACACAUGCAAGUCGAGGGGUAGCAGGGUAGCAAUACCGCUGACGACCGGCGCACGGGUGAGUAACACGUAUCCAACCUUCCCAUAACUCAGGGAUAGCCUUUCGAAAGAAAGAUUAAUACCUGAUAGUACUUUUUCAAGGCAUCUUGAGAAAGUUAAAGAUUUAUUGGUUAUGGAUGGGGAUGCGUUCCAUUAGAUAGUUGGUGAGGUAACGGCUCACCAAGUCUUCGAUGGAUAGGGGUUCUGAGAGGAAGGUCCCCCACAUUGGUACUGAGACACGGACCAAACUCCUACGGGAGGCAGCAGUGAGGAAUAUUGGUCAAUGGGCGAGAGCCUGAACCAGCCAAGUAGCGUGAAGGAUGAAGGUCCUAUGGAUUGUAAACUUCUUUUAUAGUAGAAUAAAGUGAUCCACGUGUGGAUUUUUGUAUGUAUACUAUGAAUAAGGAUCGGCUAACUCCGUGCCAGCCGCAGC
This 496-nucleotide ribosomal RNA is filed under the name uncultured bacterium. RNAcentral describes it as "bacterial SSU rRNA". It matches the Rfam family "Bacterial small subunit ribosomal RNA", at positions 24 to 518 of the family's 1533-position model. The record is from RNAcentral.